AGAUCUUCCUUGGAGGUUGGACCAGUAACAGUGUACAUAUUCCUUGGAAGGAGGUGGAAGCUAAAAUGUUUGCACUUAAUGCGAUAGCUGAAGUUAUUAUCACGGAGGCCCAAGACAUUGAUUUCUCAUUUGUUAUUCACUUGGUGACAAUUUUAUCUAGUAGGCCACAGGAUGAUGCUAAGGGCUUCAUGAGACUUGUAU
This is a long non-coding RNA of Solanum dulcamara, 201 nucleotides long. RefSeq lists it as uncharacterized. The transcript is spliced from 2 exons. The record is from RefSeq and is a predicted model, not a curated record. NCBI's taxonomy places the organism in Eukaryota, Viridiplantae, Streptophyta, Magnoliopsida, Solanales, Solanaceae.